RNAcentral lists this long non-coding RNA (1285 nucleotides) under Parus major (Great Tit). Its description in RNAcentral is "lncRNA (ENSPMJG00000009253.1)". Lineage: Eukaryota; Metazoa; Chordata; Aves; Passeriformes; Paridae. The record is from RNAcentral.
AUGGGAAGGGCGCUGCAGAGCGCGGGAGGGCCGCGAGGGGGCGCCCGCGCACCGCGCACGGCCCUCAGGGCCCCGGGACAAUCCCGGGAAUCCCGGGCUGGGAAAGGAAUAUCCCAGGGCUCCCACGGCUCACCUCAGUGCCCGCCUCUGCUUCACAGCUCCAGCAGAAGGGAAGGUGUUCGGCCUAGGGGCUGGCUGGCUCUGCUCCCUGCUCACAGCUUGUAUACUGCACUGAGAACCAGCUUAAAAACAAUUAAAAACAUUCCUGAAGUCACUUUGCCAUGAAUGAAAUUCUAAGAAUUGUGUUCUCCAGCAGACCCAGUUUGAGGCCUGUCUGCAGGACAAUCUGUGUAGGAUUUGCUAGGGUUAUGCCUCUUUUCAGGCCAGCAUAUCCUUCAGAGCAGCAUUACGCAGGCAGAGAAGUGCAAUGGAGCAGAACUGAAGGAAUUCAGCAAAGGUUUCUUCUGGGUGUAUUUGUAAGUGCAAGGAGCAAGAUUAGAUCCCAAAUGACAAUUGAAAAGGGAAACCUAAUCUAGUAGCUAAGCCACGAGGCUCCAAGUCGGAAGAUACGGGCUUUCCAAGCUGUUUACUCACAAAGCCAAACUGGGUGCCUUCAGACAAAGUCUCUCAAACUUUGCCAGAAGUGCUGUCACUUUUGCAAAAAGACCUGUGUGAAAACAUUCACUUAUAAGAGAUGUUAACAAUGUCGUCAAUGAUGUUUGAGACUUGAUCCUCUAAACCACAUGUGAGACACAUCUGGAGUUUUAUCACCGCAGCAAAACACAGUUGUUUUUAAUGGUGAUACAACAGAAGUAGGUCAGAGCUGAUUCAGUUGGCACUGGCUUGUGUACAGGCAAGACUGUCACUGGUGUCACCCCUUGAAAAUGUCAGUUCUGAAAUCUGUGGAGGAGAGGCCCUGAGGAAAUUUGAGGUUAAUGCCACACUGCGAAAGAAGAUAAAAAGGAAAUGAAAUAGACACAACUGUUGCAUUAAAUAUUUAAUUUUGCAUCUGCUUUAAACAGCUAUCAAAUGAAACAAAUGGUUUCAGUCUUCAUUUAGAACAUGUUUGGUGUUAAAGCACAAACCAGUUGCAAACUGAGGUCAGAUCUCUGGACAAUCCAGAAGAAUUUCUCUGAUUUUUAGAUACCAUUUAUUCGAUCCAGCUGGGAAAUCUGAAAGAAAUACACUCAGCUGCCCAACUAAUAUUUUGGUUAAUCACAAUGUCAGUAAGCCAUAAAACUUCAGCUUUCUGAGGGGAAAGGGAUAAGUUCCAGUCACUUCUUGU